AGAGUUGAUCAUGGCUCAGAUGAACGCUGGCGGCAGGCUAACACAUGCAAGUCGAGCGGGAAAUGUAGCUUGCUACAUUACCUAGCGGCGGACGGGUGAGUAAUGCUUAGGAAUCUGCCUAUUAGUGGGGGACAACAUCUCGAAAGGGAUGCUAAUACCGCAUACGUCCUACGGGAGAAAGCAGGGGACCUUCGGGCCUUGCGCUAAUAGAUGAGCCUAAGUCGGAUUAGCUAGUUGGUGGGGUAAAGGCCUACCAAGGCGACGAUCUGUAGCGGGUCUGAGAGGAUGAUCCGCCACACUGGGACUGAGACACGGCCCAGACUCCUACGGGAGGCAGCAGUGGGGAAUAUUGGACAAUGGGGGGAACCCUGAUCCAGCCAUGCCGCGUGUGUGAAAGAAGGCCUUUUGGUUGUAAAGCACUUUAAGCGAGGAGGAGGCUACCGAGAUUAAUACUCUUGGAUAGUGGACGUUACUCGCAGAAUAAGCACCGGCUAACUCUGUGCCAGCCGCCGC
RNAcentral lists this ribosomal RNA (513 nucleotides) under uncultured bacterium. RNAcentral's name for it is "bacterial SSU rRNA". It matches the Rfam family "Bacterial small subunit ribosomal RNA", at positions 8 to 518 of the family's 1533-position model. The record is from RNAcentral.